Cyanistes caeruleus (blue tit) is the source of this 658-nucleotide non-coding RNA. The record is from RefSeq and is a predicted model, not a curated record. NCBI's taxonomy places the organism in Eukaryota, Metazoa, Chordata, Aves, Passeriformes, Paridae.
UUAAAUAGCAUUAUCUUCUCUUUUUAGUGAUUCCUUGAUAGUGAAAACUGAUCCUAGAUAGAAUACUCUUAGAAACACAGCUGCAUUGUGCACCAUUUCUAUCCACUCAUGUCUCUGCCUGAAUGCAUCUUCAUGGAAGCCACUCAGCCCUUUCUUGUUUUAAAACUGAACAGCUUGAAUCAACUACUGUGUAAAAGUGAUGCAUAAAGGAAAUGGAUGGCUUAGAGGCAAGGAACCUUUUUUCUGCAACAAGCUUAUGCUACAGGGAAAGAUAAAGUAGCUUGCCAGGAAACACCAGAAGAUCAUUGACAGAGUCAGGAAGAGUGUACUGAUUUCUAUCACCCUGCUUGAUAUGCUCAAGAGCCAGCUGAAGUCAACUCAAGCCUAUGUACUUUCAUUCAGUCUGACAUAAGAGCCCCAUUCCCUAGGACUGGUAUCUCCUUCUUUGUGGGAUUACUGUCCCAAGAGCCCUGGAGGGUCUGAAACAAAUUCAGACUUCUAGUCUUGAAGUUCUUGAGUGUCAGUCAAGCAGAGCACCUUAUGUGAAGCCAAUACAGUGACCAACAAAGCACUUGAUUUAGCUACUCAUCUAUUGCACAUAUUUGUGGGUUUCUGUUGUGUGGGAAGCUGGUCAUGUCCCUUUCUUCAUCUCAUGUGA